This is a long non-coding RNA of Panicum virgatum (switchgrass), 1723 nucleotides long. RefSeq lists it as uncharacterized. Lineage: Eukaryota; Viridiplantae; Streptophyta; Magnoliopsida; Poales; Poaceae. The transcript has 2 exons. The record is from RefSeq and is a predicted model, not a curated record.
GCGCCCCCUUUCCAAAUCGGCGCCGCGCACCCUUCCCAUCGCGGACGCCCGCGCUCCCGCUCCGCCUUCGUUUGAAUCACCACAUUAAUGGCCGUUAAGGUCCCGCGACGCGCCUCCCCCUUCCUCGCACGGAGAAGCUACAGCAAUCACUGCCGUGAUAGCCGGCCAGCGAACUCGCCGCUCCUUCCCCACUCGCGGCCGCACCUACCCCGUCCUCCCCUCUAUAAAACCCGCACCCGAGCUCUCCACUCCCUCCCUUUUGCACUCCACUUGUUCCCUCGCUCUCGCACUGCAGCUAGCGCUGCCGUCACCGAGCUCCGUCAUCCUGAGCUCCACCGCCGCUGUCGAUCUCCCAUCCCGUCACGUCCCUUCGCUGCUCCAUCUUCGCCGGAGCUAGCUGAGGUGACGACGUGCCGUUCGAGGGUGAUCAAGAGCAAGCUUACGAGGAAGACUUUCAGCAGUUAGCCGAGGAAGGCAAGUGGCUUUCCCACUCAGCAUACUCUGAUUUGUCCCAUCAAUAGCAUGUUAAUUCACUUUACUUUAUUGUUUAUUCAUAAAUUUGAUGGGAACACCUAUUAAGGACUUUACCUAGUCUUUUUACCUCAACCUUGGAACACCGGGUUUAAUAUCUUGUUGGGUAGCUUUGCUUAGUUGCUUAACCUUGAGUUGGUUGGUAUAAUCUUGGAAAAUGUUAAAUAUGGCUUUAUCAUGGUUAAGGGUACAAGAUCACUUUGUUUAAUUGAAACAUGGAGAACCACCAAGGAAAAUAGUGCAACCACAAGGACUAUAUGGCUCUAGUCUUGACUAAUUAAUUAGAGACUCUAGUUUGAAGUGGUCUUACCGAAAAGGCAAGAGGGGCGGCGGUUGAUGGGGUACAACUCGGUCCUCUUGGGGUAGUAGCCUUUGCAAAGGUACUGACCAUUAGGGAGGUUUAUGCUCUACUAUUGCUCCGGAAACCUUAGCAGACUACUUCUUACUAGGGAAUCUUUGUAAAGGCCUCGUAGCAUCGCUAUACAACCACACCUAAGGAAGUGUGGUAUUGUGCCUGAUCAGCACAGUGUGGUUGGGUCCAAAGUUCUUUUGAACUUUUACGCGACUUGUAGUGAAAAUAUACAACCUCUGCAGAGUGAAAACUGAUAUAUCAGCCGUGCUCACGGUUAAGAGCGGCAUGGACCCUCACAUGAUAAUUGAAUUUGAAGAAUAAUUAAAUCGUGGUUCUUUGGGUUGUUGUUGGAUCCUUUACGCUUAUGCUUAAGUGGGUUGGUAUAAACUUAUAUCUAGUUAAUAGGUGCUUGCUAAUAAAAUAUGAUCAACUAAAAUUGCUAACCGCUGAAAGCCUUUAGCCCUUCUUGUUUAACCUUGCAUGUUCCCCCACUUACUGAGUACCCACCAUAAGUGUACUCACCCUUGCUUACUACUGCUCCGAAGAGAACUUUGAAGUGGAGAAUUUCGAUGAUUUCGAAGAGUUCUAGGCGUUCGUUCACCUGUCAACUAUCUGUGGGAGAAGUCGUGCUGUGGACUUCAGUUAGGAUGUCGGUGAAACGUUUAAGACCUUUUGAGUCUAUUUCUUUCACUCUAUAACUCCUUUACUUUUCGAGCAUUGUCUUAUGAUACAUUCACUCGACGUCGAUCAUAUGUGUGUAAACUUGAUCCUGGCACACAUAUGAGAUGCAUUCAAUUUUCUUUAUAAAAUUGGGUGUGACAGUAACCACUCCCUUGACAA